CCAAUUAACAUGGAACACUUACCAACGGAAAAGGGGCCUGAUUAUCCUCGGGCUAAUCUGCCUGUCUUCCACCACUUCCUUUUGCUGCCAUGCCUGACCCAUAUUAUGCUAUGUUCGUGAAAGAUUAAUAAGCAUGUAUUGUAUUAGUAAGCAUGUACUGAAACUGUGUAAUACAAUGUUAUCCCCACUGAAUGCUUUGCUUCACAGACAAGUAUAACUGCAUUUUCAUUCUCUUUUUUUCCAAUGAUCACAGAGUGGAACUCUGCAAAGAGAGAUAUUAUUGCUUCCAGUCAAUGCUCAAAAUCACUGGGUUAUUGUGAUUUCCACUGAGAUGUUGAUGCAUGUUCACUUACAUGAUAACUCUAAUGGAAACCAAAGAGAUGUUAAUAAUUGAUCCCUGGGGUAAUGAGAAAACCGAUGAAAGAGAAUUCCUGAGGAAUUGGAGGUCUUUCCUCUAUCAACGAAAUGGAAAACUGAAGGAGAAUUGGAAAACCAAAAUACUGGACCACCACAGACAAAUUGAUGGGCAUAACUGCGGACCACUAAUCCUAAAGAGAGCGUGGAGGACUACUGCCUACACUGCAAUUAUCUAACUUGCAAAAAAAUACAUGAAGAUGGAAUAAUGGUGCAGUGCGACUCUUGCGAGAGGUGGGCACACAUAGCCUGCCUUCCCGAGGGAAUCACUGAAGAAAACCUGAAUGCUGAGGAGAAAGGGUACAGAUGCAUCAAGUGUGCAUAGUUCAGUUAUUUAACUAAAAUGUACAUUGAAUAAGGAAUUUGCUAAGAGCAGUAUUUUUGUUUUCUUCAGCAAACACUUCUGAAAUAUAAAUGAGAAGAGAAGUGUAACCUUACAUUAAAUUUCAGUAAAGAAAAAAAGCAUUAACUAUCUAUAAAUAUGUUCAGAUUAUUUUUUAUAAAAAUAGUUGAAAUGAAACCUACAAUGUUCUUGUUUCCAUCUCUUGUUACAAUAGGGAAGGUUUUAUAUUUUUAAAAAUACCUCAGUAUAGUUGUGUCCACAUUUUCAAUGGAGAUUUCACAAUGGUAACAAAUUAUGACAGGGCAUCAAUCAUCCAUAAAGGUUUGUUACCUCUGAAAUUUCUCAUACUGUGCUCUCAGGCUGAUGCCCUAUGACAUACAAAGCAAAUGGGGCCAGAGGUACCCCCUCGGUCAUACUUUGGUACCCCUAGACCAGAAGUGUUGCAUGGGUUUUUGUUCAUUUCAUUCUCAACAUAGUCAUUUGGAUGUUUAUCACAACAUUUUAUGC
This 1264-nucleotide long non-coding RNA is filed under the name Chrysemys picta bellii (western painted turtle). RNAcentral's name for it is "lncRNA (ENSCPBG00000020552.1)". The record is from RNAcentral. Lineage: Eukaryota; Metazoa; Chordata; Testudines; Emydidae.